RNAcentral lists this non-coding RNA (87 nucleotides) under Microcystis aeruginosa. RNAcentral describes it as "Photosynthesis regulatory RNA1". It matches the Rfam family "Photosynthesis regulatory RNA1". Rfam says of the family: Formerly known as Syr1 discovered in Synechocystis sp PCC 6803, is a regulatory factor controlling photosynthetic functions. Lineage: Bacteria; Bacillati; Cyanobacteriota; Cyanophyceae; Chroococcales; Microcystaceae. The record is from RNAcentral.
UAAAAACCUCUUUGGUUUUGGUAUCUUCCUUUUGUUUUGCAUUGAGUUCUCCUACAACAGCAGCCUCGGACAUUAACCGAGGUUUUU